This is a ribosomal RNA of Fusarium oxysporum f. sp. raphani 54005, 120 nucleotides long. Lineage: Eukaryota; Fungi; Ascomycota; Sordariomycetes; Hypocreales; Nectriaceae. The record is from Rfam.
ACAUACGACCACAGCUCGUGGAGAAUACGGGGUCCCGUCUGCUCCCCCAGAGUCAAGCCGCGAAGCGCCGGAUUAGUAGUUGGGUCGGUGACGACCAGCGAAUACCUGGUGUUGUAUGUU